Molecule: ribosomal RNA, 268 nt
Filed under: uncultured bacterium
Lineage: Bacteria
Description: partial 16S ribosomal RNA
Rfam family: Bacterial small subunit ribosomal RNA
Source: RNAcentral
AGAUGGCGACCGGCGCACGGGUGAGUAACACGUAUCCAACCUGCCGAUAACUCGGGGAUAGCCUUUCGAAAGAAAGAUUAAUACCCGAUGGCAUAAUAGAACCGCAUGGUUUGAUUAUUAAAGAAUUUCGGUUAUCGAUGGGGAUGCGUUCCAUUAGGCAGUUGGUGGGGUAACGGCCCACCAAGCCUUCGAUGGAUAGGGGUUCUGAGAGGAAGGUCCCCCACAUUGGAACUGAGACACGGUCCAAACUCCUACGGGAGGCAGCAUG